Molecule: ribosomal RNA, 496 nt
Filed under: uncultured bacterium
Lineage: Bacteria
Description: partial 16S ribosomal RNA
Rfam family: Bacterial small subunit ribosomal RNA
Source: RNAcentral
AUGCACGCUGGCGGCGUGCCUCAUACAUGCAAGUCGCGCGAACAGACGAGGAGCUUGCUCCUCUGGCGUUAGCGGCGGACGGGUGAGUAACACGUGGAUAACCUACCUAUAAGACUGGGAUAACUUCGGGAAACCGGAGCUAAUACCGGAUAAUAUAUUGAACCGCAUGGUUCAAUAGUGAAAGACGGUUUUGCUGUCACUUAUAGAUGGAUCCGCGCCGCAUUAGCUAGUUGGUAAGGUAACGGCUUACCAAGGCGACGAUGCGUAGCCGACCUGAGAGGGUGAUCGGCCACACUGGAACUGAGACACGGUCCAGACUCCUACGGGAGGCAGCAGUAGGGAAUCUUCCGCAAUGGGCGAAAGCCUGACGGAGCAACGCCGCGUGAGUGAUGAAGGUCUUCGGAUCGUAAAACUCUGUUAUUAGGGAAGAACAAAUGUGUAAGUAACUAUGCACGUCUUGACGGUACCUAAUCAGAAAGCCACGGCUAACUACGUG